AGUCGUAACAAGGCUUUCCGUAGGUGAACCUGCGGAAGGAUCAUUA
This 46-nucleotide ribosomal RNA is filed under the name Melampsora epitea. RNAcentral describes it as "partial 18S ribosomal RNA". It matches the Rfam family "Eukaryotic small subunit ribosomal RNA", at positions 1787 to 1831 of the family's 1831-position model. The record is from RNAcentral. Lineage: Eukaryota; Fungi; Basidiomycota; Pucciniomycetes; Pucciniales; Melampsoraceae.